This 1400-nucleotide long non-coding RNA is filed under the name Nicotiana benthamiana. RNAcentral's name for it is "long non-coding RNA (NBEN_LNC021099)". The record is from RNAcentral. Lineage: Eukaryota; Viridiplantae; Streptophyta; Magnoliopsida; Solanales; Solanaceae.
CCAAACACAACCAAAAGAUAAGUUUUAGCAACCAGCACAAAAAAAAAACAAAGAAAAAGAUUAUUUAAACAGCCCAAACACUUAAUUCCUUUCAAUUAGAUACUUCAAAGUGUUUAUCGCUUUGGUGCAGAAAAUAUAAUAGGAGGCAUCAAUCUCCUUGGUGACUUUGGUCGGCUUCUCAGUGACAUACUCCAUAGCGUUGAUACCUUGCCUUAUAGAGGUCAAUAGUUCCUUCCCUUUUUGAUUCCUUCACCCAAUCUCAUGAGAAGCAAGCCCAGCAGGCCCUGAUACCUGCAAUAUUUUGUUGCACUAGUAGCAACUGAUAUGAGGAAGAGGAUUUGUAAUUUUUAGAUUUAUUUCCUCCAGUUUUAUGUUGAGGAGUGGAUUCUUAUGCUUUUUCUUUCUUGAGUCAGGUUCCUUAACAAAACAGUAACCUAUCAAGGCAAAGGUUGUCUUGUCAUAUGGGCUGGAGAUGGUUUUAAGGGCAUAGAGAGACAAAUCUACUUUUACAACUUGCAAGAUGUAAGAGAUUAGUAAACCAUAAGGCAAACUGUUAGCCGAAGAUGAGACAUCCUAAUGCUUUCAAGCAUUUGUUGUCGCACCCAAGCAAACCAAUUAAUAGCCUUCCCGUUCACAAGACAAUACAAGACAAACACAUCUUAAGAGACACGGUGCUAAGAGAACCAGUAUAGGUAUGCAGGGUGGUAGAAAUAAUAUGGGCUGAGACACGAUGCUUAAAUUCUAGAAUUUUAGGACCAAUAUCAAGGAGGUUUUUAGGCAACACACUUUUUGCUUCCUCAAAUGACACUUCAAAAUUAUCAGGCCAAGAAUGUUACAAAAAGAAAUUGUACCUAACAAACUUUAUUGCAGUGAUUUUUUUUCAAACUGAUAAGAUUCAACAAUAAUUUGAGUUCCCAAAACCAUGAAUUCUAAGUCAUUUUUAUCAUUCACAAAAAAAUAUGCAUAAAACAUACACACAUGCUCUUAGAUAGUGUUACCAAUAGAACAAAUGGAGAAACAAGUUUUUGAGCUUCAGAUACUGAGAUAACAUCACAAUGAGAGCUUUUCAUAGACAAAUCUUACUUUCUCUUCGGGACCAGAGAAGUUCAUCUUGUCUUUAGGCCCAAACUCUAUGCUUUCUAUUCUCUCUCUCUUUUGAGAUGAUUGUUUGGGGAUAGACUCCAUUGGACGUCUUACAGCCAUCUUUUGAGCGGUGAGAAUUUCUUCUUGAGAACCACUAGAUUCAUCCUCGAACUGUUGAUGAUCUAUACUCUCUCACUGCUCUACAUACACAGGGUCAUCAAUUUGAUGGAUUUUCUUGAAGUGGUGAUUUCUUUUAGGCCUGGAGGAGGAUAAAGAGGGUUCGGUUUUGGCCAUGAGUAAGAGAAAGCAGAAGGAGA